ACUGAUGAAACUGUUUUUGGACUUCUCAUCUCCAGAAUGGUAAGAUAAUAUAUUUAUGUUGUUUUAAACGGCUAAGUUUCUGGUAAUUUGUUACAGAAGACAUUGGAAACUAAUACACUGUUUUACUACUGUAUAUUGGGUAGGGAUGAAAGCUAAUUUAUCUUACUUCACAGGUCUCUGAUCCUGAAGAAUUGCAUUUCUGUGUCUCUGCAUUUAACAUGGAUAAUGAGACGCUGGGUUGAGCAUAUCUGAGCCUGAUGCCACAAUGGACUGAGAAGAAAUUUCAAUGAUGGUGCAGAGGCCAUGGUGUCGAGUCAUUCUGUGAUGAUAGCUUGAAAACUUCGGAAAGUGUUUCAGAGAUAAUAAGCGCCACGGAGAAUAUCAGCAGUAUCAUUACACACGUUUCAUAGGCAACCAAGCCUUCGAAUUCUGAACAGUUUGCACUGAGAAUAUAUUGUGUGACAAUUUUUGCAGAAAGGUUACUCUGGAGCAACUAAGGGUCCAGAGGCAAAUGAUCCUUCUCCUGACAUAUUUUCAGAAGG
Long non-coding RNA from Canis lupus familiaris (dog), 542 nucleotides. RefSeq lists it as uncharacterized. The record is from RefSeq and is a predicted model, not a curated record. Lineage: Eukaryota; Metazoa; Chordata; Mammalia; Carnivora; Canidae. The transcript is spliced from 3 exons.